Molecule: non-coding RNA, 97 nt
Organism: Xylariaceae sp. AK1471
Lineage: Eukaryota; Fungi; Ascomycota; Sordariomycetes; Xylariales; Xylariaceae
Source: the annotation of a GenBank genome assembly
GCCCUGGUAGCUCAAUUGGUUAGAGCGUCGGACUUUUAUCGGCUCAAACUUAUAAAAUGCCAUCCGAAGGCUGCGGGUUCGACCCCCGCCUGGGGCG